AGUAACACGUGGGCAACCUGCCCUUUGGAUGGGGGAUAACUCGCCGAAAGGCGAGCUAAUACCGCAUGAUAUUCAGAAGACUUCGGUUUUUUGACUCAAAGCCCGCAAGGGCGUCUAAGGAGGGGCCCGCGCCCGAUUAGCUAGUUGGUGAGGUAACGGCUCACCAAGGCAUUGAUCGGUAGCCGGUCUGAGAGGAUGGCCGGCCACACUGGAACUGAGACACGGUCCAG
Molecule: ribosomal RNA, 230 nt
Filed under: uncultured bacterium
Lineage: Bacteria
Description: partial 16S ribosomal RNA
Rfam family: Bacterial small subunit ribosomal RNA
Source: RNAcentral